GGAUGUGAGGGCGAUCUGGCUGCGACAUCUGUCACCCCAUUGAUCGCCAGGGUUGAUUCGGCUGAUCUGGCUGGCUAGACGAGUGUCCCCUUCCUCCCUCCACCGCUCCAUGUGCGUCCCUCCCGAAGCUGCGCGCUCGGUCGAAGAGGAUGACCAUCCCCGAUAGAGGAGGACCGGUCUUCGGUCAAGGGUGUACGAGUAGCUGCGCUCCACUGCUAGAACCUCCAAACAAGCUCUCGAGAUAGACAUAUGGUUGAAGAAAGGACAAGACUGUGCAAGUUCUGAAGGUCAUGGUUAGGAGGUCAGACUUAGUGC
This 315-nucleotide small nuclear RNA is filed under the name Castor canadensis (American beaver). Its description in RNAcentral is "7SK RNA (ENSCCNG00000002693.1)". It matches the Rfam family "7SK RNA". From Rfam's summary of the family: 7SK was discovered as an abundant small nuclear RNA in the mid-70s but a possible function has only recently been suggested. Lineage: Eukaryota; Metazoa; Chordata; Mammalia; Rodentia; Castoridae. The record is from RNAcentral.